Molecule: long non-coding RNA, 252 nt
Filed under: Carica papaya (papaya)
Lineage: Eukaryota; Viridiplantae; Streptophyta; Magnoliopsida; Brassicales; Caricaceae
Description: long non-coding RNA (CPAP_LNC014712)
Source: RNAcentral
UAAAACAUCUAUUUAUCAACUUGUAGCAGGGUCUGUUACCAUGAUUCUUUCUACAAUAGAGGCAUAUCUGCUCUGACCCUUGUGCUGGGACUAUGAGAUCCAUAUUUUGCCUUUUAUUAGGUUGUUGUGGCUCAUAAAUCUUCCUCUUAUUAUUUGGUAUGAAUGGUCGAGCCUAUUGGAUUUGUUGUGAGAUGGGCUUGUAGCCUCUUCUGCAAUUUGGGUACGUUCCAGUGCUUCUUGAUAUUCAUUAAU